UUCCAGCAAAUUCCCUUCCACAGGCACUUCUCCGCGCACACAGUACAGCCUCCACUCACCUGCAGGGGGCAGCAGCGGCACAGAGUUAGGACGUGGUGUGCCACGGGGACCCGCCAACACCACCCACCCUGGGCCCACCCAGGCCCAUCCUGUGACUUGGGGGUGGGGGUGGGGGGCUCAGGCGGAGUGGCGGCCAGCUCGCUGCCGGCCCAGAAAGCACAUCCUUUCGGAGUUAGAAGCAGGUUCGUGAAGUAGAAAACCCAUUUUUGUAAAUACUCAGGUAUUUACAAAUACUUACAAAUACUGAGUAUCUUAUAAAUACUCAGGUAAAUCACAUAACAGGCAUAUUUUGAGAGGCUCUGAAGCUAAGAAUUCUUUUUAUUUUAUUUUUUUUAUAAAUCUAUUCUAUAAAUUAAGAGAUUUUUGUUGGCCAGCAUCCAAUUUAUAAUAGAUGACCCACUGAAUUUUUCUCCCCUCUUGAAAAGAGAGACAGAGUCACUGUGGGAAUUCAGUUUAAGGGGAAGUAAUCUCCCAGCCUCCUGCAUCCAGAGUCCUAUGUAUCCUAAGGUAAACGCCACAGGAAGGUGGGGGGGGUGGCUAUGAGCUCCCCAUAAGGCUGAUUUGUAAGGCAAACGUGACGAGGCUUUCAGGGGGGAAGACACAGCUAUAUAAAGGGAGACUUACUUUAAUACCCGCCCCCCACCCCCAGUGUGAAAACACCUUCUAGGAGAGGGAAACGAAUCUUAUUCCAACGGUGACAGUGACUUACUUUGUGUGUUCUCUUCCUCCUCUUCCCGCCUCCCGGAGUGUACUACCAUUCCCCCCUGGAAACACUGCAGAAAGCAGGGGGGCUCCUUUCCCUGCAGGACCUGGACCUUUCAAUGGAAACACAUUCCAGAAGGGGAGCUAUGUAUGCUUUCAAAGCUGGUCCUUAACGUUCCCUGCUGCACAACACCGAAGGUUAGUGGAUUCCCACCCGCCAAAUCCCCUCUUACUGCCUUUAUUGCCAACACGCGGCACGGAUGGUUACUGCAGCUGGACAACUGCACCACCCCCAAGGAGCAGAGACUCGCAAUAGCGACUCUUUGGGAAGGACGCUUAUUUUGGGGAGACUCAUGUUAUCUCAUCUUCAAGGCCACCAGACACGACAGCAGGAAGGGAGAGCACGAGGACACAGAACAGGAAGUGGCACAGCCCAACCUGGAGGCCUCCUGCUACGGCCUCAGGAUUUCAGAAUUUGAAACUGCUUGGAACGCUGAUCAGGCAGAGGAAGGCAGGAUUGAGGAAAUAAAUACAUGCUGAAGCAGGUUCGCGCAGGUAUCGCCCAUCCUUCCAAAACGCUCUUUGGCUGCGAACGGAGACCGGGCUGCAUACACCCCGCGAGCCUGAUGAGCAGUGCUUCUGGGGCCUGCUGCCGCCCCUGCCCAUCACUUCCUGUCUCGUCACGACUAUGGCUUCUGAAGUCACCCCCACGGCACAUCAAGGAGAGUGCCCGUUCGGAGGGAGACCACCCGGGGGAGGCCACGGCAUUCUAACACCCCCACCUCGUACUCUCCCGGGACUCUAGGAACCAAGUAUCGGCAACUAAGGAGGAUUCAGGACUCCCUUGCAAGGCUGUGGCCUUUAACAGCAAAUGUCUGAAUGACCAUCUUUGGUAUGGAGUCCACUCUGCAGACUUGCUAGGAUGUCUAUAGACAGCACUUGCUUUCAGCUUUAGACAUGGAU
Acinonyx jubatus (cheetah) is the source of this 1725-nucleotide long non-coding RNA. RefSeq lists it as uncharacterized. The transcript is spliced from 3 exons. Lineage: Eukaryota; Metazoa; Chordata; Mammalia; Carnivora; Felidae. The record is from RefSeq and is a predicted model, not a curated record.